RNAcentral lists this ribosomal RNA (254 nucleotides) under uncultured bacterium. RNAcentral describes it as "partial 16S ribosomal RNA". It matches the Rfam family "Bacterial small subunit ribosomal RNA", at positions 524 to 776 of the family's 1533-position model. The record is from RNAcentral.
UACGGGGGGUGCGAGCGUUGUCCGGAAUCACUGGGCGUAAAGGGCGCGUAGGUGGCUUGGUAAGCGUGUGGUGAAAGCCCGGGGCUCAACCCCGGGUCUGCCAUGCGAACUGCUAUGGCUUGAGCACUGUAGAGGCAGGCGGAAUUCCGGGUGUAGCGGUGGAAUGCGUAGAGAUCCGGAAGAACACCGGUGGCGAAGGCGGCCUGCUGGGCAGUAGCUGACACUGAGGCGCGACAGCGUGGGGAGCAAACAGG